UCCAGUUUAGAAGGGAAACUUCUAUCCUGGAUUGGCCAGUGUUACAUCAGGGAUACACUGACUCUUUCCUUUGGAUCCCAGAGCUGUCAAUCUCUGUAGGAGUGGGAAAGCCUUCCCUCUUUUCGUAUCACUAUAAAAUAGGGGACGAGAACCCCUCCGUUUUAUCAUCAGUACAGUCUUGUGUUGCCAGCAACUAGGCACCUUGUCACCAGCUGCUACUUGUGUCCAGAAGGGGAGAAGCUGUAGGGAUUAAUGCUCCCUUAGCCAAGGAUUGGUCUACUGCUAGUCUAAGUUCAAGAUUUGGCCUGCUGAGCAGACAUUGAUUUUGCAUGGUAGAAUAACUCAUCAGAUUUUUGGCAGAGGCCCAGAGACGAAGUGGCUGAUUAGACUGUGGACGCACCUGAGUGCACAACCGAAGACAGCCCCCUGGAUACCUUACUCAUGUUUUCACAGGAUCCCCACUGGGACAAACUUCUAAUCAUCAAGGACUGCUAGACAGAACACAACAGUGGCAUCUGAAAUUAGCCUGCAAUACAGGGUAACAAAUGUGACACACAACUAAGCCUGUGUAUGCAGCACUGCUUGACUGCAAAGGGGUCUUGUGCUGGAGAAGAGAAACGUGAGCUGUCUUCAUAGAUUGGAGUACUUUCUUGCACCACUUCCAGGUUCCUUGUCACUCAUAAUAUCCGAUGAAAUGCUUCAUGAACCAAUCAUGCAGCUGUCCUGAAAAUCUUCCAGAGGAGCUGUCAAACACCCUAUUAACACACUUACUGACACUGGCCACAGAUGACUGUCUUUCUAACAUGCCAGACUCAAAGUAUAAAUAGUUUUGUUGGAGGAUUUACUCAGCACACUUGAAUAUUAAAGCACUAAAUAAAUAAUGCCACAUUUUACUUUAAAAUAUUAAAAUGUAACUACAUCGA
Long non-coding RNA from Hemicordylus capensis (graceful crag lizard), 923 nucleotides. RefSeq lists it as uncharacterized. NCBI's taxonomy places the organism in Eukaryota, Metazoa, Chordata, Lepidosauria, Squamata, Cordylidae. The transcript has 3 exons. The record is from RefSeq and is a predicted model, not a curated record.